GGCCCUGUGGCGGAAUCGGCAGACGCAGCGGACUUAAAAUCCGGCAAGCGGUGUGUGGGUUCAAGUCCCACCGGGGCCA
Molecule: transfer RNA, 79 nt
Filed under: Planctomycetota bacterium
Lineage: Bacteria; Pseudomonadati; Planctomycetota
Description: Planctomycetes bacterium (freshwater metagenome) tRNA-Leu
Rfam family: tRNA
About the family: Transfer RNA (tRNA) molecules are approximately 80 nucleotides in length. Their secondary structure includes four short double-helical elements and three loops (D, anti-codon, and T loops). Further hydrogen bonds mediate the characteristic L-shaped molecular structure. tRNAs have two regions of fundamental functional importance: the anti-codon, which is responsible for specific mRNA codon recognition, and the 3' end, to which the tRNAs corresponding amino acid is attached (by aminoacyl-tRNA synthetases). tRNAs cope with the degeneracy of the genetic code in two manners: having more than one tRNA (with a specific anti-codon) for a particular amino acid; and 'wobble' base-pairing, i.e. permitting non-standard base-pairing at the 3rd anti-codon position.
Source: RNAcentral